CUGGCUUGGACCAGACUCACUGGAAAUUUCUAUCUGAGCCCUCAGGAGAGGUCUGCAGCACCAGUCUAAAAAUAGGUUUGCUUCAUCUAUACCACAAUGAAGAAGGAAUGGAGAGGACUGUGCCCACACCGUUGACCUGCCGUGACAAUAGAGGGCGUUGUGUGUCUCCCUCUCCUUUCGUCUGCACUGGAAUGAUUUCCACAGAGAAGCCCACGUUCAAGGGUAUUUCCCUCCCUGUGUAACCCUGACCGAGGCCUCAUGAACUUGCUUGCAUUGUCUCAAAAAUGUACAGACAUCCAGGAGACACUCAGGGGUUGCUCCAUGUUUUUGCCCAGAAAUG
This 340-nucleotide long non-coding RNA is filed under the name Urocitellus parryii (Arctic ground squirrel). RNAcentral describes it as "lncRNA (ENSUPAG00010003338.1)". Lineage: Eukaryota; Metazoa; Chordata; Mammalia; Rodentia; Sciuridae. The record is from RNAcentral.